CCCUUAGAUGUCCUGGGCCGCACGCGCGCUACACUGAGUGUCUGAGAUACGAGUCUGCCUGGUCCGGCAAGGUCUAGGUAAUCGCUAAAAGACACAUCAUGCUUGGGAUAGAUUUUUGCAAAUAUUAAUCUUGAACGAGGAAUUCCUAGUAAGCGCAAGUCAACAGCUUGCGUUGAUUACGUCCCUGCCCUUUGUACACACCGCCCGUCGCUCCUACCGAUUGAGUGGUCCGGUGAGGCUUUGGGAUCUGAGCGGAAAGAGCGUUUCGCUGUUUCUGCUCGGAAAACUCAGUCGAACCUUAUCAUUUAGAGGAAGGAGAAGUCGUAACA
RNAcentral lists this ribosomal RNA (329 nucleotides) under uncultured eukaryote. RNAcentral describes it as "partial 18S ribosomal RNA". It matches the Rfam family "Eukaryotic small subunit ribosomal RNA", at positions 1470 to 1796 of the family's 1831-position model. The record is from RNAcentral.